GAUCUAUUUCAGCUUGAGAUGAUUGUUUACAUGCGUAUCUAUUGUCUUUCUAUCUUUAAUUUUUUUUAUUUAUCUGUUACAAUACAAUAGGUGGAAGUAAGUGUAUAAUGUAUAUAAUUGUUUUCUCAUUUAUCUGUGAUGCACUAAUUCUUGUUUACAACACAAUAGAAGGUACAUAUACUAAAUCUAAUAAUAUCUAGUAUAUUUUCCUUUUUUAAAUUUUGUUUCUUUAUUUGAUACACAACUCUUAUUUACGACCCAAUAGAAAGUAAGUUACAGAUGAUUUUUACAUGUCUAUCAAUUUUUUCUAUCUUUAAUUUUAUUUACAAUACAAUAGAGAGUAAGUAGCUCUUAAUUUUGAAUGACUGUUUUCCUUUCAACUUUUAUUUAUUCAUUCGUCUAUACAAAUUCUUAUUUCUAAUGCAAUAGGAAGAAGUAAGUACUAUAACUUCAAACGAUUAUUUGUCUUUACUGUCAUUGAUUCAUCUUUGAUACACAACCUACUGUUUAAAACACAAUAUAUAGUUUGUAAGCACUAACCUAUGUCAAUUUUAAAUAAUUUCUAUUAUUGUCAUUUUUAUAUUUAUAUUUAUUUAUUUGUCUGUGAUACUACAAUAGAUAGUAAGUGCAUAUACAUGUGUACUAUGAUUGCUUAUACUUGUCUAAUUAACUUUAUGUAUUCACUUGUGAUACACAAACUCUUAUUAACAAUAGAAAGCAUUAGCCGAUGUAAGUGGUAU
Molecule: long non-coding RNA, 740 nt
Organism: Amphimedon queenslandica
Lineage: Eukaryota; Metazoa; Porifera; Demospongiae; Haplosclerida; Niphatidae
Exons: 5
Source: RefSeq, a predicted model, not a curated record